AGUCUGCCUUUGUACACACCGCCCGUCGCUCCUACCGAUUGAAUGGUCCGGUGAAGUUUUCGGAUUGCGGCGACGCCGGCGGUUCGCUGCCGGUGACGUUGUGAGAAGUUUAUUAAACCUUAUCAUUUAGAGGAAGGAGAAGUCGUAACAAGGUUUCCGUAGGUGAACCUGCGGAAGGAUCAUUG
Molecule: ribosomal RNA, 185 nt
Filed under: Porella pinnata
Lineage: Eukaryota; Viridiplantae; Streptophyta; Jungermanniopsida; Porellales; Porellaceae
Description: partial 18S ribosomal RNA
Rfam family: Eukaryotic small subunit ribosomal RNA
Source: RNAcentral